Molecule: ribosomal RNA, 253 nt
Filed under: uncultured bacterium
Lineage: Bacteria
Description: partial 16S ribosomal RNA
Rfam family: Bacterial small subunit ribosomal RNA
Source: RNAcentral
UACGUAGGGCGCAAGCGUUGUCCGGAAUUAUUGGGCGUAAAGAGCUCGUAGGCGGCCUGUUGCGUCCGCUGUGAAAUCCCGGGGCUCAACCCCGGGCCUGCAGUGGAUACGGGCUGGCUAGAGGCAGGCAGGGGAGAACGGAAUUCCUGGUGUAGCGGUGGAAUGCGCAGAUAUCAGGAGGAACACCGGUGGCGAAGGCGGGUCUCUGGGUAGUAACUGACGCUGAGGAACGAAAGCGUGGGUAGCGAACAGG